Molecule: microRNA, 23 nt
Filed under: Monodelphis domestica (gray short-tailed opossum)
Lineage: Eukaryota; Metazoa; Chordata; Mammalia; Didelphimorphia; Didelphidae
Description: mdo-miR-7375-5p
Source: miRBase by way of RNAcentral
UAGCCCUUACCCCACCGAUUAAU